CAAUAGCGUAUAUUAAAGUUGUUGCGGUAAAAAAGCUCGUAGUUGGAUUUCUGUUGAGAGCGACCGGUCCAUACCAUGUAUGCGUAUCUGGCUUGCUCUCGGCAUCCUCUCGAUAGACGUUACUGCGCUUGAUUGCGUGGUGCGGAUCUCGGGACUUUUACUUUGAGGAAAUUAGAGUGUUCACGGCAGGCUUUCGCCAGAAUACAUUAGCAUGGAAUAAUACUAUAGGAUCUUGGUUCUAUUUUGUUGGUUUCUAGAAUUGAGAUAAUGAUUAAUAGGGACAAUUGGGGGCAUUCGUAUCAACACGUCAGAGGUGGAAUUCUUGGAUUGUGUUGCGACGAACUACUGCGAAAGCGUUUGCCAAGGAUGUUUUCAUUGA
Molecule: ribosomal RNA, 379 nt
Filed under: uncultured eukaryote
Lineage: Eukaryota
Description: partial 18S ribosomal RNA
Rfam family: Eukaryotic small subunit ribosomal RNA
Source: RNAcentral